GUGAUUCCCUGUUGGGUACAGAGCAUGAAAGGAUACCUUGUCAGAACAGAUAUGACUUUGUUUUCUCUAGUUCAGUUGAGUUGACUAUGUUCAGUGUCACCAUGUUUGCCAGUGUACCUACUUUUUUGAAAGAAGUGGUGGCAAAUUGAGUGAUUGAUGUGUAAAAGGAAAAUUAGCAUCUGCAAUCAACAGUUAAACAUGCUGAUAAUAUCUCAUUCCUUGAAAACCAUUGAAUACUAGAGCAAGCAAAAUGAUUAAAAAGCAUCAACUGCUUGUUUUCAUUUAACAAAGGCAAAUAUUGGUUAUGAAACAUGGCGCUAUUAAAUUGCUAUUUGGAGAAAUUAUU
RNAcentral lists this unclassified non-coding RNA (346 nucleotides) under Hevea brasiliensis (rubber tree). The record is from RNAcentral. Lineage: Eukaryota; Viridiplantae; Streptophyta; Magnoliopsida; Malpighiales; Euphorbiaceae.